This 1382-nucleotide ribosomal RNA is filed under the name uncultured bacterium. RNAcentral's name for it is "bacterial SSU rRNA". It matches the Rfam family "Bacterial small subunit ribosomal RNA", at positions 18 to 1395 of the family's 1533-position model. The record is from RNAcentral.
CCUGGCUCAGGAUGAACGCUAGCUACAGGCUUAACACAUGCAAGUCGAGGGGCAGCAUGGUCUUAGCUUGCUAAGGCCGAUGGCGACCGGCGCACGGGUGAGUAACACGUAUCCAACCUGCCGUCUACUCUUGGACAGCCUUCUGAAAGGAAGAUUAAUACAAGAUGGCAUCAUGAGUCCGCAUGUUCACAUGAUUAAAGGUAUUCCGGUAGACGAUGGGGAUGCGUUCCAUUAGAUAGUAGGCGGGGUAACGGCCCACCUAGUCUUCGAUGGAUAGGGGUUCUGAGAGGAAGGUCCCCCACAUUGGAACUGAGACACGGUCCAAACUCCUACGGGAGGCAGCAGUGAGGAAUAUUGGUCAAUGGGCGAGAGCCUGAACCAGCCAAGUAGCGUGAAGGAUGACUGCCCUAUGGGUUGUAAACUUCUUUUAUAAAGGAAUAAAGUCGGGUAUGGAUACCCGUUUGCAUGUACUUUAUGAAUAAGGAUCGGCUAACUCCGUGCCAGCAGCCGCGGUAAUACGGAGGAUCCGAGCGUUAUCCGGAUUUAUUGGGUUUAAAGGGAGCGUAGAUGGAUGUUUAAGUCAGUUGUGAAAGUUUGCGGCUCAACCGUAAAAUUGCAGUUGAUACUGGAUAUCUUGAGUGCAGUUGAGGCAGGCGGAAUUCGUGGUGUAGCGGUGAAAUGCUUAGAUAUCACGAAGAACUCCGAUUGCGAAGGCAGCCUGCUAAGCUGCAACUGACAUUGAGGCUCGAAAGUGUGGGUAUCAAACAGGAUUAGAUACCCUGGUAGUCCACACGGUAAACGAUGAAUACUCGCUGUUUGCGAUAUACUGCAAGCGGCCAAGCGAAAGCGUUAAGUAUUCCACCUGGGGAGUACGCCGGCAACGGUGAAACUCAAAGGAAUUGACGGGGGCCCGCACAAGCGGAGGAACAUGUGGUUUAAUUCGAUGAUACGCGAGGAACCUUACCCGGGCUUAAAUUGCAGAUGAAUUACGGUGAAAGCCGUAAGCCGCAAGGCAUCUGUGAAGGUGCUGCAUGGUUGUCGUCAGCUCGCGCCGUGAGGUGUCGGCUUAAGUGCCAUAACGAGCGCAACCCUUGUUGUCAGUUACUAACAGGUUCCGUAGAGGACUCUGACAAGACUGCCAUCGUAAGAUGUGAGGAAGGUGGGGAUGACGUCAAAUCAGCACGGCCCUUACGUCCGGGGCUACACACGUGUUACAAUGGGGGGUACAGAGGGCCGCUACCACGCGAGUGGAUGUCAAUCCCCAAAACCUCUCUCAGUUCGGACUGGAGUCUGCAACCCGACUCCACGAAGCUGGAUUCGCUAGUAAUCGCGCAUCAGGCACGGCGCGGUGAAUACGCUCCCAGGCCUUGUACACACCGCCC